This 613-nucleotide ribosomal RNA is filed under the name uncultured bacterium. RNAcentral describes it as "bacterial SSU rRNA". It matches the Rfam family "Bacterial small subunit ribosomal RNA", at positions 338 to 951 of the family's 1533-position model. The record is from RNAcentral.
CCUACGGGAGGCAGCGGUAAGGAAUAUUGGUCAAUGGGCGGAAGCCUGAACCAGCCAUGCCGCGUGCAGGAAGACGGCCCUACGGGUUGUAAACUGCUUUUGCAGGGGAAUAAACCCAGUUACGUGUAACUGGCUGAAUGUACUCUGAGAAUAAGGAUCGGCUAACUCCGUGCCAGCAGCCGCGGUAAUACGGAGGAUCCAAGCGUUAUCCGGAUUUAUUGGGUUUAAAGGGUGCGUAGGCGGCCUAUUAAGUCAGGGGUGAAAGACGGUAGCUUAACUAUCGCAGUGCCUUUGAUACUGAUGGGCUUGAAUGGACUAGAGGUAGGCGGAAUGUGACAAGUAGCGGUGAAAUGCAUAGAUAUGUCACAGAACACCAAUUGCGAAGGCAGCUUACUAUGGUUUAAUUGACGCUGAGGCACGAAAGCGUGGGGAUCAAACAGGAUUAGAUACCCUGGUAGUCCACGCCCUAAACGAUGAACACUCGAUGUUAGCGAUAUACAGUUAGCGUCUAAGCGAAAGCGUUAAGUGUUCCACCUGGGGAGUACGCCCGCAAGGGUGAAACUCAAAGGAAUUGACCGGNGNGAGACGNGCGAGACGACGACGAGGGAGGAGG